AGCGAACGCUGGCGGCAGGCCUAACACAUGCAAGUCGAACGAAGUCUUCGGACUUAGUGGCGGACGGGUGAGUAACACGUGGGAACGUGCCUUUAGGUUCGGAGUAACUCAGGGAAACUUGUGCUAAUACCGAAUGUGCCCUUCGGGGGAAAGAUUUAUCGCCUUUAGAGCGGCCCGCGUCUGAUUAGCUAGUUGGUGAGGUAAAGGCUCACCAAGGCGACGAUCAGUAGCUGGUCUGAGAGGAUGAUCAGCCACAUUGGGACUGAGACACGGCCCAAACUCCUACGGGAGGCAGCAGUGGGGAAUCUUGCGCAAUGGGCGAAAGCCUGACGCAGCCAUGCCGCGUGAAUGAUGAAGGUCUUAGGAUUGUAAAAUUCUUUUACCGGGGACGAUAAUGACGGUACCCGGAGAAGAAGCCCCGGCUAACUUCGUGCCAGCCGCCGCGGUAA
Molecule: ribosomal RNA, 449 nt
Filed under: uncultured bacterium
Lineage: Bacteria
Description: partial 16S ribosomal RNA
Rfam family: Bacterial small subunit ribosomal RNA
Source: RNAcentral